AUGGACAAUAACACAUGAAGCGCAUGAACCACAUUAAAAGAAUAUUUCAGGUUAAAUACAACUUAAUGCUGUCAAAUACUACAAACGAUAAUCUCUCAGUUUGUAAAAACAUAUCUACACUUUUGUAGGGCACUUCCAAUGGAGGCAAGUGUACUCAAGGGUCUGAAGGCAGAAAUGUGUAGGCCAUGUUUUGUUAAAGCAUUUACAUUAAUACUUCAGUUCAAAAUUGAGCUGUCUAAAUUGUCCUUUUCUUGGUGGGUGUUUCUUUUGCACAGAUAUUUUGUAAAAGUUGCCAGGUAUAUCAGAUUAUGGUCAUUGCAUGAUUUGAAAGACUGGAUAUACUGUAACUUUACACAGACAAGGUAGGUAAGCUAAUCGAUUGCACCAUUAUGCUAAACAUUCAUUCACUAUGCUGUAGAUCUGCACCAUGGGCUCCCAUUGUAAGUGUAUUACUGUACACAAAUUUUUCCUUUGUUUUCACAAACUGUGGGAUGAGUCAAAAUUAUUUUCUUUUCCAAUCAAAAAUAUGCCGCAGAUGCUGUCGAUAGAGCUUAAAGCUGAAGUGUGUAAUUUCUGCAACACUAGUGUCACAAAACGUAAUUGCAAAUGUAACCAUUGUUUUCAAACAGGAUUCCAACACAUUCCCUGUCUGCCAUCAGCCGGUUAACAGAUAGCCCGCCUAACACUAUUAUUUAACACAAUGUUUCUGUGUCAGGCUGGGGUGCUUUUCCCAUACAACGUUGUAACUCACUGAUUAACUACCAUACACUCUUAGAAAAAGGUUCUUUGGGGUUCUAUAUAAAACCCUAGGGUUCUUUCCUCGGCUCCAUAGAACCCUUUAUGCCAAAUAGGUUCUAUUUACAAAGAUUUAUAGAAUAAAGAACACAUUUUGCACACAAGGGUUCUUUGGGUUGGCAAUUGCUUAAUGUGAGUAUGUAUGUGUAUGUUUAAAUUACAUAAUUGAAAGUUUUGUUUAUAAAUAGUUUUGAACACUACUCUACAUUACUUUUGUAUUUGCAUUUCAUACUGCAGAAAAAUAAAACUUUUACAAUGUGCUUCUACAGCUUUGGUUUCGAUUAGAAUAGGAUAAAUGACAGAUGAUCAGAUCCAAUGUCCUUUCUCUUUUAGAUGACAGGUUUAUCUUAGUAUUAAUAUACAGUCUGUUGUAUAGUUUAUUCUUGACUCAUAAUUCAACAAAAGAUGCACAAAAUUGUGUUUACCAUAAACAGCAAACAACUUGAGUGUGUAGCGCUGUUUUUACACCUCCUAUAUACAUAGCACAAAGGUACAUUUAAGAUGCGUGCUCGCAAAGUGAUCAAAAUGCGUGAGCAUCCUAUUUCAAAUUUUAGCAGUCAAGGAAAGUCGGUUGAGCUGAAAGCUUGAGGGUGAUGUUACCCUGGUAGGUAAGAAAUAUAAAUUAAUUUGUUGAUUAAUUUUAUGUUUUUUUAUUUAUUUUAACCUAACUCCUUGUCAUUUAUGACUUACACAUUUAUUUCAGCAAGUCGACAAAACUGUUUCGUCCAGGCCUGCGAUAUUCUCUGCCAGGAGGUAAGUAAUUUCAAACUUGCAAAAUCUCUGUCAUGGAUUGACUAGUAAUCCUGGUACCAGGUUAUGUUAUAAUGUAAUUUUCUUUGCAUCUAGAAAACAUAGGAAAAAACAAAAACUUUUCCAGGAGCGCAUCACAGCACUGAAUUAAGCCAACUGCACUGAUAUAAAGAGAUUAAUCACCUCUGUUCAAGAGUGUGAAAAUCAGUGGCAGAGGUAGGCUGUGGCCACCAUGGACUGAAGCCUGGCCACCCCAUUGGCCACCCAUUUUUUGUCUUGGGCAUGACCAAUUGUGCCAAAAUGGCCCAACCAGCCAUGGUUUCCGGAAAUGAUGGAGAUAUUAGGUGGCCCUCCAUGGAAAAUACCGCUGAAGAGGGAUCUGCUCUCUCAAGCACAGGGCAUGAUUUGGCAUCCCCAGCCAGAGCUGUGGAACCUAAACCUAAGGCCCCUAAACGGAGCACAGCGAACAAGCCCAAAUUAGCUUAGUCUGUAAUGUACACCAUUUUGCAGGCUAGAGCACCAUCUACGAGACGCCUCUAUGCACUAAAACUGCGUGUGCUUGCGGACUGGUGCUCUUCACACAGCCAAGACCCAGUGAAUUGCUCCAUAACAGAGAUCCUUACAUUCCUUCAAGAGUGGUUGGAUGCAGGUCUUACUCCGUUAGUGUUUAAGGUCUAUGUAGCGACCAUCUCAGGCAUUUCACGCCCCAGAGGCUGGCUCCUCUAUAGACAGAUAUGAUUUUAUCAUAAAGUUCCUUAGGGGAGCGAGGCGCUUGAACCCCCUUUGCCCUGCUACGGUUCCAACAUGGGACUUAAAUCUGGUGCUGAGGGUGCUCACAAGCCCUCCUGUUCGAACCAUUGGAAUUCUUUCAGUUACAUGUACUCUCUUUAAAGGCUGCACUGCUAUUGGCUCUGGCCUCAGUCAAACAGGUUGGUGAUAUACAGGCGCUGUCGUUUGACAGUUCAUGUCUGGAAUUCGGUCCGGGGCUUUCAAAAGCCACCAUCAAACCCAAAAAAGGCUAUGUGCCUAAGGUGCUUUCCAUGCCCAUUAGGGCUCAGAUAGUGCACCUACAAGCUUUCUCUUCACCAUCUAAUUCGGACGAGGAGCUGUUAGCGCAUUUAUUAUACCCCGUGCAUUGCCUGUUUAGACUGUCAGAUCAGCUCUUCGUUUGUUAUGGAGGAUGCACUAAAGGCAUGUCCGUCUCCAAACAAAGGCUUUCUCACUGGAUCAUUGAUAACGCCUCUACGUGAGAUGCCCUAUUGGCGUAAGGGCACAUGGCUUCCUCAUGGGAAUGGACAAACGGUAUAUCCCUACAGGAUAUAUGCUUUGCCGCAGGAUGGUUUUCGCAGAACACGUUCACAAGGUUUUAUAACCUAGACGUGGCGUCCAUCACUUCGCGAGUCCUCUCUGUCUUGAGAGCUACUAUUCCAUCACCCAGCGGGUGAGCCCGAGCUCCUUAUUACAGGCGGGCUACCUGUUAUAAUUUUAAUACAGCCGCAACCUGUGUAGGCCGCAACCAAAUUUACUCCCAUUACAAUUCACGAGCACUUCCAAUAGAAUAAAAACUCCCUCCCUACCUCUGAUUAUGAAAGGGUUAAAUUAUUCUGUGUGUAGUAUAUGACUCAUUUAGCUCCUCAGAUUAAGAUUAAUUUCCCAUUUGGUUUUCACCAUGUGGGGUUAUUCAUUUUCAUACACACUUGAAGACAUAUCAUAAUAAGUCACCGCCGAAGGGCCCGUGACCUCAUAUACAUAUUCUUCUAAGUGUUUAUACCCUGGUACAUCUUAAGGUAUAACACUACAUAGUGCGGUGUGAUGGGACUCUGUUCCCCAUAGCGUUCAAAUGCAAUGUUGAAUGAACUGAAUCGAUAGGGAAUGUCUCCGGUUACUCAGGUAACCUUGGUUCCCUGAGAUGAAGGGAACGAGACAUUGCAAAACUUCGAGUUCAGUUCAGUCAGAAAAUUCUGAAGAAAUGGUGUUUGACCAUUGCCAAUCAUCAGAUUGCCAUUAUGAUACAAGGGCUUCAACUAGGUUGUGGAAAAGGAAUUCCCCCAUAGCGUUCAAAUGCAAUGUCUUGUUCCCUUCAUCUCAGGGAACUGAGGUUACAUGAGUAACCAGGGACGUUUUAUUGUCAUGUACAAAAAUAUGAUAAUUAUGUAUUUAUUUUUAUUGAAGAUUCCAUAUUAACUGAACAUGGGUUAUUAGCAAAGGCCUUCACCUAACUCAGAGCACUUCUGAAGUUCUGGACAUCAACAUAAUCAGAGCCAUGACAAGUGGAAGUCAAAGGGGACAUUUGUCUUCAAAACAAUGACAUAAAUAAUGUCAUAAAAGUGGCUCUGGAGUGCAGCAUUACUAGUUUGAACAUCUUCAUACAGAUAAAACACAACACUCCUAUUCAUCACAUCCAUCCUCAACCUGAUCUUUCAUAUGGUGUCCAGACCCCUCAGUGCAGAGAGUUGGCAUCAAACUGAUGACAUGGAGAUGGCUGAAGUGAAGUGAAGUUUUGUUUAAUUUGUUGUAUCCAGAAGGCCUCACUCAGUUUGUCAGACCAGUGGCAACAAAAUUAUUCUGUAUCUGCCCCAGUGCUAAAACUGUUUAACAGCUUUUCAUUGGUCAUUUGUUUUGAUUCAUUUUUACUUAGUUUUUUACUUGUUUAUUAACCUUACUUGUGAAUAUAAUGUUAACUUAUAGUUAACGUUAAAUGAUUUAAUGUUUAUGAUUUUUAUAUAAAUAAUAUUAGUACUAAUUAACUUUUAGCUUAUUAUAAACCUGUUGAUUUAUUAAGUCAAUUCUCAUAACUAUUGCAUUAUGAAUUAUGUUAAUUAUUGCUUGUGUUGUUGUAAAUAUUAAAAAUGCUUUACUUAAUAAUAAUUAAAUGUCUCUUAUAUGGUUAUUUCACUUUCUUAGUGACAUUGUAAAUAAACUAUUUAGUUCGCAUAUCCAUUAAAUGUUCUCCUGGUAAUAAAACAAAAAAUAAAUUUAAAAACUAAACAAAAAAACAAACGUUACGGUUGCAUGUUGGGAACCCUUAAAAGGUUCUAUAAAGAACAUUUCAACCUGGCUCAAAGAACCCUUUAGGGUUCUUUUGAUAGAACCCUUAAAAAGGGUUCUAUACAGGGGGUAUAGCUCAGCGAGUAAAGUCGCGAAUUCGAAUCCUGGGCGUGCUCAGUGACUCCAGCCAGGUCUCCUAAGCAACCAAAUUGGCCCGGUUGCUAGGGAGGGUAGAGUCACAAGGGGUAACCUCCUCGUGGUCACUAUAAUGUGGUUCGCACUCUAGGUGGGGCACGCGUAACGUGCUCAACAAGACACGUGAUAAAAUGCGCGGAUUGACUGUCUCAGACACGGAGGCAACUGAGAUUCAUCCUCCGCCACCUGGAUUGAGGCGAGUCACUACGCCACCACAAGGACUUAGAGCGCAUUGGGAAUUGGGCAUUCCAAACUGGGGAGAAAUGGGAGAAAAAAAGGGUUCUAUACAGAACCUUUUAGGAGAUCCAAAUAUGAAGCAAGCGAUAGAACCCUUUAGGGUUCUAUAUGGAAACUUUUCUUCUAAGAGUGUAGUAGGUUAACUAGCUAGUCGCAACUUUUCCCAAAUCCGUAGUAACCAUGUUGCACAUUCAUCGAUCGAAGCACAUUGUUUCAACAGUGUAGAGCUGCAGUUAAUGACAUUGCGCAGGGGGUGGAGUUCUAAAUUCUGUGGAUAUCAAAUGGACAUCAAAUGAAAAUAGCUUAUAUACAUGAACACCAUUCUGCCGUUUAAUGUGAGAAAUCUGCUGAAGACACAAAAGCGGCGUGCACUGUAUAAUGCAACAAAUGCAUUGCGCUGCAGUAGUGGGGUUUCCCUCUACAUCAGACUUUGGGGUUCCCCUCGACACACUUAAGCACAUACAUACGCAUGUGCACUUUUCAAAAACAUAUAAAAACGUCACUUAUGCAUUGUUCUUCGACAGAAAUUAAAGCACUUCCUCUUCACAGCGUUUAAUCCCUUAAACGUGAUUAAACAUGAAGUUUACAUGACCUUUCAGAACGCCGUUUUCUGCAAAACCCCAGAAUAAAAUAUUUUAAGUGCAGGUAAAUGUGGGCAAAGUCUUAUGGAACAAAUAUUGGAUUAGUCAAAUGACGUCUACACAGCAAACUAAAACUGAACUAUGCUUCUAACCAAAGGUGGAGAGCUGAAACGGGAAACACCAAAUCGUUGAAUUAUGAUGGUAAUGAUGGCCUUGCAACCAUAGUUGGUUAAUGAUGCUAAAAGAGCGUUGUUUUGAUAGCACAACAGAGCCAGUGUUUUCACUUUUUGGGGUUUCAGAACGCUCUUGGUUAAAAAUAUCUCCUACAUUUCUGUUUAUUUGCUAAAGAACUUGACAGCAGAAAAAUCUGUCCAAUUACUUUGCUUAAACACAUACUCAAAAAAAGAGUAGAAUGUCAAGCCCUACACAAAGUGGAGCACUAAACGUCAACUAAUUGGCAAUGGUA
Myxocyprinus asiaticus (Chinese sucker) is the source of this 6012-nucleotide long non-coding RNA. RefSeq lists it as uncharacterized. The transcript is spliced from 3 exons. The record is from RefSeq and is a predicted model, not a curated record. NCBI's taxonomy places the organism in Eukaryota, Metazoa, Chordata, Actinopteri, Cypriniformes, Catostomidae.